CACGAAGCGGUGGAGCAUGUGGUUUAACUCGAUGCAACGCGAAGAACCUUACCUGGGCUUGACAUCCCGGGAAUCCCUUGGAAACAAGGGAGUGCCCUUCGGGGAACCUGGAGACAGGUGCUGCAUGGCUGUCGUCAGCUCGUGUCGUGAGAUGUAGGGUUAAGUCCCGCAACGAGCGCAACCCCUAUCUCUAGUUGCCAGCGAUUCGGUCGGGGACUCUAGAGAUACUGCCCCGGUUAACGGGGAGGAAGGUGGGGAUGACGUCAAGUCCUCAUGGCCCUUAUGCCCAGGGCUACACACGUGCUACAAUGGGCGGUACAAAGGGUAGCGAUGCCGCGAGGUGAAGCCAAUCCCAAAAAGCCGUCCACAGUUCGGAUUGGAGUCUGCAACUCGACUCCAUGAAGCCGGAAUCGCUAGUAAUCGUGGAUCAGCAUGCCACGGUGAAUACGUUCCCGGGCCUU
Molecule: ribosomal RNA, 461 nt
Filed under: uncultured Desulfobacterium sp.
Lineage: Bacteria; Pseudomonadati; Thermodesulfobacteriota; Desulfobacteria; Desulfobacterales; Desulfobacteriaceae
Description: bacterial SSU rRNA
Rfam family: Bacterial small subunit ribosomal RNA
Source: RNAcentral